CUCAACUCUGCAGAUAUGACGCCUCUGUUCAUCUCAGUGCUGCUGGCUGCUCUGUGUCUUGAAGGCCGAGCACAACAAGACCUUGUGCAGCAACCAGAAGGAGACGUGAGUGCGACUGAAGGAGAAGCAGCAACACUUGGCUGUCGAUACGUCAGCAGCUCAACUAGUGUGAAUCUCUUCUGGUACAAACAGGAAGGAGCCAACAGACCAAAGUUCAUCCUGAGCCGCUUUCUACUGGGAGAAGGAAACACAGCAGACGACUUCAGAGAGAGAUUUUCAUCCACAGUGAAUUCCACCUCGAGAUCAUUUCCUCUGAAGAUCCAGAAGCUGCAGCCGUCUGACUCUGCUGUGUACUACUGUGCUCUGCAGCCCACAGUGACAGGA
Limanda limanda (common dab) is the source of this 384-nucleotide non-coding RNA. The record is from the annotation of a RefSeq genome assembly. NCBI's taxonomy places the organism in Eukaryota, Metazoa, Chordata, Actinopteri, Pleuronectiformes, Pleuronectidae.